GAUGAACGCUGGCGGCGUGCCUAAUACAUGCAAGUCGAGCGAACGGACGAGAAGCUUGCUUCUCUGAUGUUAGCGGCGGACGGGUGAGUAACACGUGGAUAACCUACCUAUAAGACUGGGAUAACUUCGGGAAACCGGAACUAAUACCGGAUGAUAUUUUGAACCGCAUGGUUCAAAAGUGAAAGACGGUCUUGCUGUCACUUAUAGAUGGAUCCGCGCUGCAUUAGCUAGUUGGUAAGGUAACGGCUUACCAAGGCAACGAUGCAUAGCCGACCUGAGAGGGUGAUCGGCCACACUGGAACUGAGACACGGUCCAGACUCCUACGGGAGGCAGCAGUAGGGAAUCUUCCGCAAUGGGCGAAAGCCUGACGGAGCAACGCCGCGUGAGUGAUGAAGGUCUUCGGAUCGUAAAACUCUGUUAUUAGGGAAGAACAGAUGGGUAAGUAACUGUGCACAUCUUGACGGUACCUAAUCAGAAAGCCACGGCUAACUACGUG
This 497-nucleotide ribosomal RNA is filed under the name uncultured bacterium. RNAcentral describes it as "partial 16S ribosomal RNA". It matches the Rfam family "Bacterial small subunit ribosomal RNA", at positions 28 to 507 of the family's 1533-position model. The record is from RNAcentral.